AUUGUUUCGAACGACAGCUUUUUUCUUUGUGAAAAAGUUGGCGGAUCGGUAUUGAGGGUCUUGCCAUUUACCAUGGCUCCCUCGAAAUGCAUUAGCGCAUCCAUUUGAUAGGCAAGACGGACGAAAGCUCGAUUUUCGCCCUCUCUUCCCUGCCGGGUUUUGAUAAUAUCAGGACUUCGGAGGCGGAGAAAGGGUUAGAGCUGGACGCAACGUUUUGCUGUUUGGAGUGCUUCUGAAACCCGCCCAUGCCUCUUUCUUCGGAAAAGGAAGGGAUUUUUUCAAUU
This 284-nucleotide unclassified non-coding RNA is filed under the name uncultured Ustilaginomycetes. Its description in RNAcentral is "sequence contains ITS2". RNAcentral also lists the same sequence under 1 other name. Lineage: Eukaryota; Fungi; Basidiomycota; Ustilaginomycetes. The record is from RNAcentral.